RNAcentral lists this ribosomal RNA (755 nucleotides) under uncultured cyanobacterium. RNAcentral's name for it is "bacterial SSU rRNA". It matches the Rfam family "Bacterial small subunit ribosomal RNA", at positions 28 to 829 of the family's 1533-position model. Lineage: Bacteria; Bacillati; Cyanobacteriota. The record is from RNAcentral.
GAUGAACGCUGGCGGUCUGCUUAACACAUGCAAGUCGAACGGGCUCUUCGGAGCUAGUGGCGGACGGGUGAGUAACGCGUGAGGAUCUGCCCUUAGGACGGGGACAACAGCUGGAAACGGCUGCUAAUACCCGAUGUGCCGAGAGGUGAAACUAUUUGGCCUGAGGAUGAGCUCGCGUCUGAUUAGCUAGUUGGAGUGGUAACGGCACACCAAGGCGACGAUCAGUAGCUGGUCUGAGAGGAUGAUCAGCCACACUGGGACUGAGACACGGCCCAGACUCCUACGGGAGGCAGCAGUGGGGAAUUUUCCGCAAUGGGCGAAAGCCUGACGGAGCAAGACCGCGUGCGGGAGGAAGGUCUAUUGAUUGUAAACCGCUUUUGAUAGGGAAGAAGAUCUGACGGUACCUAUCGAAUCAGCAUCGGCUAACUCCGUGCCAGCAGCCGCGGUAAUACGGGGGAUGCAAGCGUUAUCCGGAAUUAUUGGGCGUAAAGCGUCCGUAGGUGGUUUUAAAAGUCUGUUGUCAAAUCGCGAGGCUUAACCUCGUACAGGCAGUGGAAACUAUAAGACUAGAGUGCGGUAGGGGUAGAGGGAAUUUCCAGUGUAGCGGUGAAAUGCGUAGAUAUUGGAAAGAACACCGGUGGCGAAAGCGCUCUACUGGGCCUGCACUGACACUGAGGGACUAAAGCUAGGGGAGCGAAAGGGAUUAGAUACCCCUGUAGUCCUACCCGUAAACGAUGGAUACUAGGCGUUGCCCG